RNAcentral lists this long non-coding RNA (3325 nucleotides) under Bemisia tabaci. Its description in RNAcentral is "lncRNA ENSSSA2NGG003134". The record is from RNAcentral. Lineage: Eukaryota; Metazoa; Arthropoda; Insecta; Hemiptera; Aleyrodidae.
UAUUGUUAUUGUGAAAUAUCUAGGCGUAGGCGGUAAGUCAGGUGUCAGGUUUACUUCUGCCUUAUGACGUGAAAACUCCCGCGACUAUGUCAUUUAAAUAACACAUUCCCACAAAUUUAUGACUGCAAUAAAAUUUUUUGUGAGUUCCUUCUUUAUACAUUUUUCAACAAAAUAAAGUGAUUAUUUUCUGUGAAUUUUAUUUGCUUAAAAUAAAGUUUUAAAUACACACAGUGACAAUCAAAAUGAGCCGCUUUAAUGUGGGAAAAAAGCUAUCUUUGAUUUUUUUCGAACUGACUUUGCUGAAAACAUUUUCUUGUGAUUUUGAAGGUACUGUGAAUCAAGUUUGGAAGUCUUUUAGUGAUUGCACGGAUAACAAAGCAAACAUGUUCUGGCCAUGUUUAGAGAAUGAGUCAAUAUCGAUUCUUUAUAAAGUUGAAGAAAGUGCAAAGAAUAUUCCGAUCCUAGGUAACUCAGUGGAGCUGAUUAGAGAAAAUUCUAAUGAGCAAAAGGACUACAAUACGUUUGCAAUUACACCCAGAUUAUUCAAAAAUCGCGAAAGAAAACUUUCACUUCGAUACAGAGAUUUAUCAUUCACAAGGAUACUCUUGGAUUUUUUCAAGAAUCGAUCGUUGCAACUUAGAAUUCCUAUUUUGUGGUCUGAAACUCUCUGGAACUCAGCAGUUGAAGGCAGAGGCAAGAAAGACAAGGGCCACUCUAUGCUGGCGGGUUGUUUACUGGCUGGACUUAUGAUGACGAUCGCCUCGUUGGCCAUGCUUUCGGGGAAAGCUUUGAUGACGAGCUUAAUCGCCCUUACACUGGCCGCGCUUUCGAACCGAAAAGGAGGCUCGGCCGCCCUCCAUGGCGCCACCACCUACGAAGUCAUCAACGUCCCAGCACAUCAUCAUUGAGCACCUGGUUACACUUAGGGCUGAAUUCAUGUUCAUUAAUUUAACAGUUCCUUUCAGUGGGAGGCUUAAUAUCGACAGUGCAACUACCAGACCACGUACGUCGGUUAUUUGCAACGUUGCAGACUUCUUGUCCUAUUUUAUUUUUUAAAUAAAAAACUACUCAACAACAAUCCCUGAAAACGUCCAUGACAUGUCUUCUCUGUUCGAAGAAAACUAUUUGAAACUUCAAGAAAUGAAAUUGAUUUGUUCUUCUUCAAAAAAAUAAAAUGGGAGCUGUGAUUUUUAAACAUACCAAACAAAGAUACGUGGUCUGGUAGUUUCACCGUCGAUAUGGUUUACAUUGAGAUUACGGGAGAUUUUAGGAGAUCAUUAAUGUAGCACCAUCAAAAGGACGAUUUUUACAAAUUUCGAGUAAAAUCCAACGGAAUAACUUUAAAAAUAGAUCUCUGCAAAGGGUGCUAAGGAUUUUCCACUGCAAAAUAUUACACUGGAAGAAAAUAUGUUAUGACAUCGACAAGCUUUAAGGUAGGUGUGAACCUAACAAGAUUUUCAAAACAUGGAGGAUUUUUUCGUGUGUAUAUUUAUUUUAUAGAGGAAAAUCAUUGUAAACUCCUUCGAGUGUUUCAGUCUAAACUUAUGUCAUUGAAUUUUACUCGAGAUUCUUUAAAAUUAUCCUUCCUACGAUACUAUGUUAAGGACUUCCUGAUACCUCUCUUAAUCACAAGUUAAAACAUAAUGAGACUCCCUAUGGAAAAAAGCUGUAUAAGGAAACGACGACAUUCCUAGCUUAUACACAAACGCAAGUAAUUCAUUCAUACUUAUCACAAUAAUGCAACUGUUCGGAUAAAAGUAACACACCUUUUUUUUCUUUCGCAUAAUGUUUGUACAUAUCACGCAAAUGUCGCAAAAUUGAGACUUUUUAACUUUUGCACUUUUAUGUAUAAUAGUUCUACACUGGCAUUCUCCGCUGCAAGGUUUACUUACAGUGCGGGUCUUUUUUUUUACAAUUUUGUAAAAUUUGUGCACACUUGGUACCGCGUAACUUUGAAGGCUUGAUUGCAAUUGUUAACUUAUACUGAAAAUUUUACAAAGUUUGCGAGCUGUCUCCGACAUUUGAUCAAUUUUGUGAGACUUAAGAAAACAUUUUAAGGGGUUUGUUUGAGCUAAGAAACAACAUCAAUCAUGUCAACAACUAUUUCCGUAAUGAAAUGUAAAUAAUACAUUUUGAAAGAUUUCACAAAUUGUUUUUAAUAAAAUAUUAUCUGAUGAUGCAUUAUAAAAUUUUAUUUACAGCCUUACCUCUAUCAAAAACAAUUGGACAUCAAGGUAUCAAGGAGUUUUUCAUAAAAAUAAUCACGUUAUAGUUUCAGUUAUCAAUCUCUAUUAUGAUUGUGGACCCUGAUACCCAUACGAGUAAAUGCAUGACAGGGUUCAUGUUGCAAUAGAGAUAAUUCGUUUUGAUUGCAACACGUCCUGGAUGUAUUAAAAUCAUUUGAAACCGUCUUAACUGUGACCUGAGCCUUAUACUAUUAAAAAUACACCGUUGUAGAGUUCAUAUCUCAAUAAAGAUCAUUCUUUUCUAUUUGAAUACAUCCAACUUUGAUUCUACUUUUAAGGCAUUUCUAGUUAUGUUUCAACUCAAUUGACUCUAAAAUACCUUCACUGCCAAAAUUUAAAACUGCCUAGUGCGACACACAAAAAGAAGAAGAAAGACAACUAUUUUGGAAUUUCAUUGGACUCCAUCUACAAGACAAUUGAUUUUAGAGCUGACUCCAGAAAAGAACAUUUUUCAAAGUGGGGAGCACACGGGCAUCUGUUUCAAAAAUUAUCAGUACGUUUAAAAAUUGAAAAUUAAAUUUAAACUUAAAAUUUGCACGGUUCAAAUUAGCUGGACUCGGAAUCAAAUAUCAUGACACAUAGUCGGAUUCCAUGUUGACUGAGUCAUUGUAAACGUAAGAUUUAUAGGCAGAGUAAGGACCGGUAUCCGAGUGAGGGCUGACGAUCUUGGGCAGAUGUGCGGAUUCGAGGAUCUCCGGUGGUAUCGUCGAGAGCGGCAAACUUCGUCCGUGAUGUCCGUGACCACCCCCUCCUGCAGGGACGUUGAUUACCUUGUAAACAUACACGAGGCAAAACGCUCAAUGAAUACAAAUAUGAUAAAAUGAUGAUCGAGAGCAUAUGUAUAUCGAAGUUGAAACUGCAGAAAUACGUAUCUCGGUUGCGGUUUUUUGAAAGCUCCGCUCCUAUUUUAUUUUUUAAAAGAGACCAAAACAACAUCAUAGCUUGAAAUUUUCACAGAAUAUUCUUUAUAAAGAGAAGAAAAAUCACUGAAAUUUUCAAAAAAAUGACGUUCUGUAGCUUUCCAUGUCGCAAGUAAAGUGCGAGCAGGUACAAUAUACGAUGGUAAUAGGCGCAGGAUG